Molecule: non-coding RNA, 58 nt
Filed under: Alexandrium fundyense
Lineage: Eukaryota; Dinophyceae; Gonyaulacales; Pyrocystaceae
Source: RNAcentral
AUACGACACACUAUAGGGAGUUUUUUUUUUUUUUUUCUUUUUUUUUUUUUUUUUUUUU